GGAUGAGGUAGGGAAGAAAUGGGCAAUAAAUACACUUUUUAGCAAAGGAAUCAGCAGCUGGAGAUGACACAGUAGAGAACUAAACACAGAAAAUGGGAACAGUUGCAGUCCUGCAGGGAAGUUGGCUUGGAUUCUGUGGUGGAAAGUGCUAGCACAAUGCCAACACUGCUGUGGGAUUUGUAGAAUCUUCUCUAGAUAAUUGUAGCAGAUUCAGACCAACCUAUUUGCAGCCCAUAUAAUUGAGAGUGAGCAGCAGAGAACCUUCUUGGUUUUCAGGCACUGAUCCCUUAACCAAGCUACCCGCCACCACCGACGUGGUACAUCUGUUGGUCUGUUUGGGGAGAAAAUAUGGUCUCAAAUGCAUCUCCAGUCUGGGGUGCUGGACCCAAAGGCUCAAUCCUCCAGCCAAAGCAUUGUUGAGGGGGCAGGAAGAAGCUCUUUGGAUUUGGCCAAAUCAGUAAAGAAAGCAAUGAAAGAAACACUAAUGCUUCACCUGCCAGGAGAAGGUUUACUACAGCUGCUCAAAGAAAAUAGACCCAGAAUAAGAAAAUGUCCACUUGGAUUUAGGAAACUAGCAAAUUCAUUCAGAACUGGUCGUGACUCCUGCAUCCUUACAAAGAAAGGUAAAUCACCACGGGUGGUGAUUCUCAAAUGGGAGGCAGUAUCUGGAGAAAUUUUGGCUGUCAUAGAAGGGGAGAGAACCAUUACAGGUGGCGGAGGAGCUUAA
RNAcentral lists this long non-coding RNA (727 nucleotides) under Vulpes vulpes (red fox). Its description in RNAcentral is "lncRNA (ENSVVUG00000026371.1)". Lineage: Eukaryota; Metazoa; Chordata; Mammalia; Carnivora; Canidae. The record is from RNAcentral.